Molecule: ribosomal RNA, 1115 nt
Filed under: Bacillus altitudinis
Lineage: Bacteria; Bacillati; Bacillota; Bacilli; Caryophanales; Bacillaceae
Description: bacterial SSU rRNA
Rfam family: Bacterial small subunit ribosomal RNA
Source: RNAcentral
CGGGGGCGGGGUACUAUACAUGCAAGUCGAGCGGACAGAAGGGAGCUUGCUCCCGGAUGUUAGCGGCGGACGGGUGAGUAACACGUGGGUAACCUGCCUGUAAGACUGGGAUAACUCCGGGAAACCGGAGCUAAUACCGGAUAGUUCCUUGAACCGCAUGGUUCAAGGAUGAAAGACGGUUUCGGCUGUCACUUACAGAUGGACCCGCGGCGCAUUAGCUAGUUGGUGAGGUAACGGCUCACCAAGGCGACGAUGCGUAGCCGACCUGAGAGGGUGAUCGGCCACACUGGGACUGAGACACGGCCCAGACUCCUACGGGAGGCAGCAGUAGGGAAUCUUCCGCAAUGGACGAAAGUCUGACGGAGCAACGCCGCGUGAGUGAUGAAGGUUUUCGGAUCGUAAAGCUCUGUUGUUAGGGAAGAACAAGUGCAAGAGUAACUGCUUGCACCUUGACGGUACCUAACCAGAAAGCCACGGCUAACUACGUGCCAGCAGCCGCGGUAAUACGUAGGUGGCAAGCGUUGUCCGGAAUUAUUGGGCGUAAAGGGCUCGCAGGCGGUUUCUUAAGUCUGAUGUGAAAGCCCCCGGCUCAACCGGGGAGGGUCAUUGGAAACUGGGAAACUUGAGUGCAGAAGAGGAGAGUGGAAUUCCACGUGUAGCGGUGAAAUGCGUAGAGAUGUGGAGGAACACCAGUGGCGAAGGCGACUCUCUGGUCUGUAACUGACGCUGAGGAGCGAAAGCGUGGGGAGCGAACAGGAUUAGAUACCCUGGGUAGUCCACGCCGUAAACGAUGAGUGCUAAGUGUUAGGGGGUUUCCGCCCCUUAGUGCUGCAGCUAACGCAUUAAGCACUCCGCCUGGGGAGUACGGUCGCAAGACUGAACUCAAAGGAAUUGACGGGGGCCCGCACAAGCGGUGGAGCAUGUGGUUUAAUUCGGAAGCAACGCGGAGAACCUUACCAGGUCUUGACAUCCUCUGACACCUAGAGAUAGGGCUUUCCCUUCGGGGACGGAGUGACAGGUGGUUGCAUGGGUUGUUCGUCAGGCUCGUGUCAUGAGAUGUUGGGGUUUAAGUUCCCGGCAAACGGAGCGGCACCCUUUGAAUCUUAGGUUUGCUG